AGAUAGGAUGUGACCUCUGCUAACACGUUGACUGUUAGGGCUGAUUCAGAUAAUCUAGCUAAGUGUAUGUACCCUUCCUCCCUCACUGCUCCUAUAUGGCCCUCCUGAAGCUGUGUGCUUGGACAGAGAGUAUGGCUUUCCCCCUACAGAGGAAGACACAAUCUUUAGUCAUGGGUAUGCAAACAGCUGUUUCACCCUGCUAGAGUUCACAGAUGUUCUACACACACAUGCACGCACAUACAGAUACAAGGGGAAAGGGAGGAAGGGAUGGAGAGAUCCCAAAAUGAUGGAAAAUG
Molecule: small nuclear RNA, 296 nt
Filed under: Microtus ochrogaster (prairie vole)
Lineage: Eukaryota; Metazoa; Chordata; Mammalia; Rodentia; Cricetidae
Description: 7SK RNA (ENSMOCG00000008872.1)
Rfam family: 7SK RNA
About the family: 7SK was discovered as an abundant small nuclear RNA in the mid-70s but a possible function has only recently been suggested. Two independent studies have found that 7SK RNA binds the CDK9/cyclin T complex (known as elongation factor P-TEFb).
Source: RNAcentral